Small nucleolar RNA from Tripterygium wilfordii, 96 nucleotides. RefSeq annotates it as small nucleolar RNA snoR31/Z110/Z27. The record is from RefSeq and is a predicted model, not a curated record. The transcript has a single exon. NCBI's taxonomy places the organism in Eukaryota, Viridiplantae, Streptophyta, Magnoliopsida, Celastrales, Celastraceae.
GUCAUCAAGUGAUGAGAAUGGAAAAAUCUUAGGACACCUUCCUACAUGGUUUUUGUUAGGCCAUGGAUGAGAAUAACUUUCCGUUCUGAUGAUGAC